CCUCUCCUCAGCCUGUGUCCUGGGGUGUCACAGUCCCCCGAGGAGGAAGCCUGGGCCCUGUCUUAGGUCCUGUUCUGGCGGUGGCCUGGCCCCUGGGACAGAGCCCUACAGACAAUUGCUGACCAUUCAAUCCUGCUGUGACACAUGUGCUGUGCUGCCGGAGCUCACCCAUUGCUGCUGCGCCUGGUUUCAAGACCUGGAGGUUCAAGCCAGCCCAUCUCACUGCUGAGCCAAUAAGGAGGAAGACAACAGGGUUACAACAAAGCUUCAGGCUUAGGAAGAAAUGUUUCACGUGGAUGGUGUCCUGGCCAGCGGGUUUGGUUCUAAAAUAAACACUACUGUCUCUGGGGCUGAAGAUUUGCCCAGGACAAUGAAGCAGCCAGCGGGAGGGUAGUGCAGAGCCG
Molecule: long non-coding RNA, 404 nt
Filed under: Homo sapiens (human)
Lineage: Eukaryota; Metazoa; Chordata; Mammalia; Primates; Hominidae
Description: HSALNT0100093
Source: RNAcentral